RNAcentral lists this ribosomal RNA (253 nucleotides) under uncultured bacterium. RNAcentral describes it as "partial 16S ribosomal RNA". It matches the Rfam family "Bacterial small subunit ribosomal RNA", at positions 524 to 776 of the family's 1533-position model. The record is from RNAcentral.
UACGGAGGGUGCAAGCGUUAUCCGGAUUCACUGGGUUUAAAGGGUGCGUAGGCGGGCAGGUAAGUCAGUGGUGAAAUCCUAGAGCUUAACUCUAGAACUGCCAUUGAUACUAUCUGUCUUGAAUAUUGUGGAGGUAAGCGGAAUAUGUCAUGUAGCGGUGAAAUGCUUAGGUAUGACAUAGAACACCUAUUGCGAAGGCAGCUUACUACGCAUAUAUUGACGCUGAGGCACGAAAGCGUGGGGAUCAAACAGG